This 459-nucleotide ribosomal RNA is filed under the name uncultured bacterium. RNAcentral's name for it is "partial 16S ribosomal RNA". It matches the Rfam family "Bacterial small subunit ribosomal RNA", at positions 338 to 795 of the family's 1533-position model. The record is from RNAcentral.
CCUACGGGUGGCAGCAGUGAGGAAUAUUGGUCAAUGGGCGGGAGCCUGAACCAGCCACGCCGCGUGAGGGAAGAAGGUACUGCGUAUCGUAAACCUCUUUUGUCAGGGAACAAAGGCGGGGACUAGUCCCCGGAUGUGGGUACCUGAAGAAAAAGCAUCGGCUAACUCCGUGCCAGCAGCCGCGGUAAUACGGAGGAUCCGAGCGUUAUCCGGAUUUAUUGGGUUUAAAGGGUGCGCAGGCGGCCUGUUAAGUCAGCGGUAAAAGCCCGGGGCUCAACCGCGGAGAGCAGUUGAAACUGGCAGGCUGGAGUAGGAGAGAGGUACGCGGAAUGCGCGGUGUAGCGGUGAAAUGCUUAGAUAUCGCGAAGAACACCGAUUGCGAAGGCAGCGUACUGGAUCGACACUGACGCUGAGGCACGAAAGCGUGGGUAUCGAACAGGAUUAGAUACCCGUGUAGUC